Molecule: ribosomal RNA, 801 nt
Filed under: uncultured bacterium
Lineage: Bacteria
Description: bacterial SSU rRNA
Rfam family: Bacterial small subunit ribosomal RNA
Source: RNAcentral
AGAGUUUGAUCAUGGCUCAGAAUGAACGCUGGCGGCGCGCUUAACACAUGCAAGUCGAGCGAGAAAGCUUCUUCGGAAGUUAGUAAAGCGGCGGACGAGUUAGUAACACGUGAGAAUCUACCCUUCAGUGAAGAAUACCCUCGAGAAAUCGAGGCUAAUGCUGCAUACGUCCUCUCAAAGAGAUUUGGGAGGAGAAAAGUGGCCUCUUGCUGCUGCUGAAGGAUGAGCUUGCGGACUAUUAGCUAGUUGGUGGGGUAAAGGCUCACCAAGGCUUUGAUGGUUAGCCGGCCUGAGAGGGUGUUCGGCAACGCUGGAACUUAGACACGGUCCAGACUCCUACGGGGGGCAGCAGUGAGGAAUAUUGCGCAAUGGGCGAAAGCCUGACGCAGCGACGCCGCGUGGAGGAUGAAGGUUUUCGGAUUGUAAACUCCUGUUAAGUGGGAAGAAAGGCUCUUUCUUAAUACGAAAGAGAGAUGACGGUACCAUUAGAGAAAGCACCGGCUAACUUCGUGCCAGCAGCCGCGGUAAUACGAGGGGUGCAAGCGUUAUUCGGAAUCAUUGGGCGUAAAGGGUGUGUAGGCGGCAACUUAAGUCAACUGUUAAAUGCUCCGGCCUAACUGGAGAGCUGCGGUAGAUACUGGGUUGCUAGAGGGUGGAAGAGAGAAGUGGAAUUCUCGGAGUAGCGGUAAAAUGCGUAGAUCUCGAGAGGAACACCAAUGGCGAAGGCAGCUUCUUGGUCCAUUUCUGACGCUGAGACACGAAAGCGUGGGGAGCAAACAGGAUUAGAUACCCUAGUAGUCC